UAAGGAAUAUUGCGCAAUGGACGAAAGUCUGACGCAGCGACGCCGCGUGGGGGAUGAAGGUCUUCGGAUUGUAAACCCCUUUCGGGAGGGAAGAUGGAGUGGGUAACCACUUGGACGGUACCUCCAGAAGCAGCCACGGCUAACUUCGUGCCAGCAGCCGCGGUAAUACGAAGGUGGCAAGCGUUGUUCGGAUUCACUGGGCGUACAGGGAGCGUAGGCGGUUGGGUAAGCCCUCCGUGAAAUCUCCGGGCCUAACCCGGAAAGUGCAGAGGGGACUGCUCAGCUAGAGGAUGGGAGAGGAGCGCGGAAUUCCCGGUGUAGCGGUGAAAUGCGUAGAGAUCGGGAGGAAGGCCGGUGGCGAAGGCGGCGCUCUGGACCCAAACUGACGCUGAGGCACGAAAGCGUGGGUAGCAAACAGGAUUAGAUACCCCUGUAGUCCCUGAGCGGGCUGGCAAGGCGCAU
RNAcentral lists this ribosomal RNA (462 nucleotides) under uncultured bacterium. RNAcentral's name for it is "bacterial SSU rRNA". It matches the Rfam family "Bacterial small subunit ribosomal RNA", at positions 355 to 825 of the family's 1533-position model. The record is from RNAcentral.